CAGAGAAUAGUUUAAUUAGAAUUUUAAUUUUGGAGGUUAAUAGUGGAGUAUUCUCUUUCUCUGA
RNAcentral lists this transfer RNA (64 nucleotides) under Rhagophthalmus giganteus. Its description in RNAcentral is "tRNA-Pro". Lineage: Eukaryota; Metazoa; Arthropoda; Insecta; Coleoptera; Rhagophthalmidae. The record is from RNAcentral.